CAGUCGCCGCGGUAAUACGAAGGGUGCAAGCGUUACUCGGAAUUACUGGGCGUAAAGCGUGCGUAGGUGGUGGUUUAAGUCCGUUGUGAAAGCCCUGGGCUCAACCUGGGAAUUGCAGUGGAUACUGGGUCACUAGAGUGUGGUAGAGGAUAGUGGAAUUUCCGGUGUAGCAGUGAAAUGCGUAGAGAUCGGAAGGAACAUCUGUGGCGAAGGCGACUACCUGGGCCAACACUGACACUGAGGCACGAAAGCGUGGGGAGCAAACAGGAUUAGAUACCCGGGUAGUCCCUGUCUCUUAUAC
RNAcentral lists this ribosomal RNA (301 nucleotides) under uncultured bacterium. RNAcentral describes it as "partial 16S ribosomal RNA". It matches the Rfam family "Bacterial small subunit ribosomal RNA", at positions 509 to 807 of the family's 1533-position model. The record is from RNAcentral.